GACGAACGCUGGCGGCGUGCUUAACACAUGCAAGUCGUACGGUAAGGCCCUUUCGGGGGUACACAAGUGGCGAACGGGUGAGUAACACGUGAGUAACCUGCCCACAACUUUGGGAUAACGCUAGGAAACUGGUGCUAAUACUGGAUAUGUGCCCCUGCUGCAUGGUGGGGGUUGGAAAGCUCCGGCGGUUGUGGAUGGACUCGCGGCCUAUCAGCUUGUUGGUGGGGUAGUGGCCUACCAAGGCGGCGACGGGUAGCCGGCCUGAGAGGGUGACCGGCCACAUUGGGACUGAGAUACGGCCCAGACGCCUACGGGAGGCAGCAGUGGGGAAGAUUGCACAAGGGGCGCAAGCCUGAUGCAGCAACGCCGCGUGCGGGAUGACGGCCUUCGGGUUGUAAACCGCGUUCAGCAGGGACGAAGCUUUUUGUGACGGUACCUGCAGAAGAAGCACCGGCUAACUACGUG
This 465-nucleotide ribosomal RNA is filed under the name uncultured bacterium. RNAcentral describes it as "partial 16S ribosomal RNA". It matches the Rfam family "Bacterial small subunit ribosomal RNA", at positions 28 to 507 of the family's 1533-position model. The record is from RNAcentral.